GAGCCACCACACCUGGCUCAUUGAACUUUUCUGAGCCUCAGUUUCUUCCUCUGUAAUAAAGGAAUAUAAAUAAUAGUCAUACCUACUUUACAGCGCUAUUCUUUUUUUUUUGGGACGGAGUUUCACUCUUGUUGCCCAGGCUAGAGUACAAUGGCUCGAUCUCGCCUCACCAUAACCUCAGCCUCCCGGGUUCAAGUGAUACUCUUGCCUCAGCCUCCUGAGUAGCUGGGAUGAGAGGCAUGCGCCACCACGCCUGGCUAAUUUUGUAUUUUUAGUAGAGAUGGAGUUUCUCCAUGUUGGUCAGGCUGGUCUCAAACUCCUGACCUCAGGUGAUCCACCUGCCUUGGCCUCCCAAAGUGGUGGGAUUACAGGUGUGACCCACCACGCCCGGCCAUAUGGUACUAUUCUUAAGAGUUAAAAAACAAAUGCUUAAAACCAAGUAAAAGCCCCCUGUGAACUUGCAGCGUAGGACUCUCCAUAACAGGCCCACACGUGCUGCUUCUACUCUGACGCCUCCAGCCCCUGCAAUCUGGCUUCUGCCCUCGCCAUUCUCCAGAAACUGCAUGUCUGCAGGUCACAGACAAGCUCUUGAAUGCAAAGCAUUCCAUCUCUGGCUCCAUAUCCCCCUCCUUCCCUAUGUGUGCUGCAGCCCUGACCAGUCUUGAUGCUUCCCGUUCUCCCUGCCUUGAGCUUCAGCAACACUCUCCAGACUCCCCCACUCUCUCUAACCCCUCUUUCCUGCUUCUGUUUCCUCCUUCUCUGGAGGUAGGUGGUCUCCAGGAAUCCACCUUACCCCUCCUCUCCUUUUCUUGCUGUUCUCUUCCACUGCAACCUCAAAGUUUCCAUUCCCCUUUCCCAUCCCUGGUUUCCAUCACAUCCACAUCUGUGCUACUUGCUAAUGCUUGGCUGGCCAGAAACAUUUUCAUCUCUAGUCCUAACCUCUUUGCAGAACACAGAAGCCAGUGCUCAGCAGGUACUCAACAGAAAUCUGUAGAAUAAAUGGGCAAAGGGGUGAAUAAACAAACCCACCUGACUGCCAGCAGGACCUCACAGGUAGAGCUCUACACAUUCAUCCUCCCCAGCCCUACUGCUACUCCUUGAAUCUACAGGCUCAGAAACCACCUUUUCAAGGACUUUCUUGCUUUUCUCUCUCUAGUCCCACACCAUCAUCACAUCUGGCCUCUCUUCUCUCUUCCUACUGUCGUCACCUUAUUAUUCCCUGGCCAUUGUUUUCUUUCCUCUCGACUAUGGCAGUGCUGGUAUUCUCUCUGGUGUCUCCUUCCAUGUCAUCUGACAUACAUCCUCUAAGAGCUUCUCAGAGCUCAGAUAUCAUCACGCUGCUCCCUGACUCACAAAUCCUCAGAGACUCCCACUGUCUAUAGAUGAAAAUGGAAACUUCCCACCUAGCAUUUCAGGAUUCUUACUGACCCAAAUACCUCUUUCCCCACUGACCUUUUAUACCAGUCAAAAUUUAGUACUUCCUUUUUCUGGAACAUGCCCUGUACUUUCCCUCUUCUAUGCCUGUUUUUAUUGCUGGAAUGCUUUUCCGCUCACACUUCUUUUCUUAUUCAAAUCCACAUCUCCCUGCCUAGGACACCACCCACUGCCCUCUCUCAUUCCUGCGGAUCACUUCUUAUCGCUUGCUCUGUUCCUUUGUGUCAAUGUGUCUCUCUUCUUUUCAGACUAAAUCUCUGAUUGCUCCUGGGGCACCCGUAAAAACUGUGCAUCAGAGCCCUAGUGUUAGCCCUCCUGGAUUCAGGUGCUAGCUCUGCCACUUCCUAGAUGGAGAUCCUUGGGCAGAUUAUUUAAACUUUCAGUUUCCUUACCUGUAAAGAGAAUUUCACCUAAAAAUGCUUACCUCCUUGAAUUAUUCUAAGGCUUCAUUAAAAUAAGCUGUACCUAAAGCACUUAGCACAGGUAUCUUGUACACAUUAAGUGCUCACAAAAAUAUGUAGUAAAUGUUCCUAGAGUGAAAGAAUGAACUGUUCUGGUAAGGCAGAAAGCAUAUCACCGACAGCAUGAAGGGAAGCCUUCUCCUUAGAGGCUCGUACAGACCAGAUGGGCAAGCAGAGCACACUACUCAGGCAAGGCAGGGUGGCACACCAAGUGUCUACGCAGCCACUUGAUGGAGCACCUCCUGCCUGAAGCUGGAGUGGCUCUUCACCAUCCCAGCCCAGCCCCUUCAUCUGUGAGGACCAGAAUAGGAAGUGGCUUACUGAAGCCAUGACACAUUUGAAGGAAACAGGUGACUCCAAGUCAGGGAAAUGCAUUUGCAGUAACAAAGCUAUGGGGAUGAGCAGACGGUGUCCAAGGCAUGGUUAAGAAACACAGAGGUGAGGCAAGUGCGAGGGGCUCAGUUACCUCCCUGUAGGCUGGCAGUGAUAAGUGUCAGGACAGAUGAAGACGUCCCUGUUAAAGGACUGUGUGAUAAUCACCCAACCCUCUUAAAGCAUAAAUGAGGUUAUAAAACUACACUUCGCAUGAGUUCAUGCAUUUCAGUUGACCAGUUCUUUCCCUCGCAGGUUCAGAGACCCGCCCCAGGGCACCUGUCAGAAUGCUCACAGGUGCUCAAGUCCUUUGACUCAUAAGCCAACCUGGGGAGUCAAGGAGAGACAUGUUGCCACAGGCUGAGGAAAAUCCCACCAUUACACCAGGCAAGCUAGUUAAAGAUCUGUUUUUAUUUUUUUUCUCCAAACACUCAACGAACUCUAAGAAUAAAUAUAGGGCACCCUACCUGUAUGAGUGUCAGACUGAACACAUUCGGGUAUUUUCUCAGCCUAAAAGUGAAUUUUAAAAGCCAUUAGUUCUGAUUGCUGAAAAUCUUGCUGGGGUGUUCCUGGGGUCCCAGGGGCUCUCCUUACGUACCUUAUUGUUGCCAUUGCACACUCUGAUAAUGGACACAUAGUGUCUAAUUUUUCUGCAAGUAAAAAACAAUGCAUUAUUUCUCUUCUGACUCUCUAAUUUGAUGGAUAUGUCGUUAAUUUUUCAUUAUGAAAUGGCACCUCCCUUUUGUAAUACACAAAAUGCUCUGAGAACAUUUCUUCUUACUGUGACCAAGGCCACCAAUAAUAAACAAGAGAUAACAAACAUCCUUUGGUGUCUCUGUACAAGUGACUUCAGUAAAAAUGACAAAAUUCUUCCCAAUUAAUCAUGAAACAAUCAAAUAUACAUGUUUUUUAAAAUGAACGGCAUGUUAACCAACCAAGAGGCUUUAGUUCCUUAACAUGUUUUAUUUUCACAACCCUUUAUAUUGAUGCUUUUCUUCAAGUUCCAACAAACAAUCUGCUCACAGUCACUGGUGGCCACAGCCGCAGGCCACACUGGGAGUUGAGGUUCACACUGAACGUGGUUAGCUAGACUUCUAAAACAAAGCAACGAAGGCUUAGCUCAGAGGCUGCUGACUCUUCUCAUUUAUUUAUUGUUCCUUCAGUUUUUUCACUUUUUCCCCUUGAUAAUCAAAUCCCUAUGUACUUACCACAAAAAAUUUGGAAAGGACAUAAAAGGGCAAAGAAUCAGAACAGAGAACCCACACAGAUCCAUCUCCCUGAGGCGAUCACCAACUGGCAGCAAAGCCUGGUGACAAAGCACGUGAGCCGUGCAGUCAGUGCUGAGGUCUGCAGCCUGGCUGCGCCUCACGCUGGCAGCUGGACCCCUGGGCUAGAAACCUGACCUCUCUAAGCCUCAGUUUCCUCAUCUGUAAAGUGGAGAUGAUCACAGCCCCAACCUCACAGGGCUGCAGUUAGGAUGGAAUGAAGUGGCAUCUACCAGACACUGGGAACUGGCCAGGAAGGGAGGGGCUCAAUUAAACAACAGCAGUUACUACAACUGUCACUGCCAUACUUUCUCCUGUUCUUUUUUCCUUCUUUCCUUUGCAUGAUUGAGAUUAAACACUAGGUAUCAUUUUACAUUUUACUUUUUGCAUUUAACAUUAUAUCAUAACCUUUCUCAUAUUUGUUUUUUGUUUGUUUUUCCUUUUGAGACAGCGUCUUACUUUGUUGCACAGACUGGAGUACAGUGGCACGAUCACAGUGUAGCCUCGACCUCCCAAAAUCAAGCGAUUCUCCCGAUUCUCCCACAUCAGUCCCCUGAAAACUGCUUAAACAGGACUGCUCUGAGUACAGCGGCUGUGCGCUGCAAGUGGAGGGUCAGACUGUAGCCAUGAGGAAGUCACCAAGGAAACACUACCCUGGAAGGCCAUUCUGUGAUGACACCUGACCUUAAAACUUCCGUCAGCAGUCCUUAACUUAAAGCAAAUUCUGCAAUAACCCAAAACACUGUAUGUUGACUGAUGUACUUUUUUUUUCCACUUACCCUCCCUGUCCAAUGACAGGUAUUAUCUUCACAUUUUGUUGUAUAUUAUCUCCGUUUUUCUUUUUGGCAUAGUAAAUUCCUUGCCACUCCUAUAAAUGGAAUGUAAGCAUCAUCAUACUUUGUGUUGAAAACAUAAACCCAAAAACAUUUUCCACUUCA
Long non-coding RNA from Macaca mulatta (Rhesus monkey), 4470 nucleotides. RefSeq lists it as uncharacterized. Lineage: Eukaryota; Metazoa; Chordata; Mammalia; Primates; Cercopithecidae. The record is from RefSeq and is a predicted model, not a curated record.